This 494-nucleotide ribosomal RNA is filed under the name uncultured bacterium. RNAcentral's name for it is "partial 16S ribosomal RNA". It matches the Rfam family "Bacterial small subunit ribosomal RNA", at positions 28 to 507 of the family's 1533-position model. The record is from RNAcentral.
GACGAACGCUGGCGGCGUGCUUAACUCAUGCAAGUCGAACGGAAAGGCCUGCUUUCCCUUGUGGAUUGCGGGUACUCGAGUGGCGAACGGGUGAGUAACACGUGAGUGAUCUGCCCCCAACUUGGGUAUAAGCCUGGGAAACUGGGUCUAAUUCCCGAUAGGACUGCAGGGUGGUGCCUGUGGUGGAAAACGAUUUUCUAGUGGUUGGGGAUGAGCUCGCGGCCUAUCAGCUUGUUGGUGGGGUAAUGGCCUACCAAGGCGGCGACGGGUAGCCGGCCUGAGAGGGUGGACGGGCACAUUGGGACUGAGAUACGGCCCAGACGCCUACGGGAGGCAGCAGUGGGGAAUAUUGCACAAUGGGCGGAAGCCUGAUGCAGCGACGCCGCGUGGGGGAUGACGGCCUUCGGGUUGUAAACUCCUUUCGACCGCGAGGAAGCCACCUGGUUGGAAGGGUGGUGACGGUAGUGGUAGAAGAGGCACCGGCUAACUACGUG